UACGUAGGGGGCAAGCGUUGUCCGGAAUUAUUGGGCGUAAAGCGCGUGUAGGCGGUCCGCUAAGUCGGCUGUGAAAGUCCAGGGCUCAACCCCGGGUCGGCCGUGGCAACUGCUGGGCUAGAGCACUGUAGAGGCAGGUGGAAUUCCGGGUGUAGCGGUGGAAUGCGUAGAGAUCCGGAAGAACACCGGUGGCGAAGGCGGCCUGCUGGGCAGUAGCUGACGCUGAUGCGCGACAGCGUGGGGAGCAAACAGG
Molecule: ribosomal RNA, 253 nt
Filed under: uncultured bacterium
Lineage: Bacteria
Description: partial 16S ribosomal RNA
Rfam family: Bacterial small subunit ribosomal RNA
Source: RNAcentral